GUUUAGUUGCUAACAGGUGAAGCUGAGCACUCUAGACGAACUGCCGUUGACAAAACGGAGAAGGUGGGGAGUGACGUCAAAUCAUCAUGCCCCUUAUGUUCUGGGCUACACACGUGCUACAAUGGCCGGUACAGACGGAGGCGAAGCCGCGAGGCGGAGCAAAUCCGAAAAAGCCGGUCUCAGUUCGGAUUGCAGGCUGCAAUUCGCCUACAUGAAGUCGGAAUCGCUAGUAAUCGCGGAUCAGCACGCCGCGGUGAAUACGUUCCCGGGCCUU
RNAcentral lists this ribosomal RNA (274 nucleotides) under uncultured Pelotomaculum sp. RNAcentral describes it as "partial 16S ribosomal RNA". It matches the Rfam family "Bacterial small subunit ribosomal RNA", at positions 1109 to 1382 of the family's 1533-position model. The record is from RNAcentral. Lineage: Bacteria; Bacillati; Bacillota; Clostridia; Eubacteriales; Desulfotomaculaceae.